This 253-nucleotide ribosomal RNA is filed under the name uncultured bacterium. Its description in RNAcentral is "partial 16S ribosomal RNA". It matches the Rfam family "Bacterial small subunit ribosomal RNA", at positions 334 to 604 of the family's 1533-position model. The record is from RNAcentral.
UCUACCUACGGGGCGCAGCAGUGGGGGAUAUUACACAAUGGGGGGAACCCUGAUGCAGCGACGCCGCGUGGGUGAAGAAGCGCCUCGGCGCGUAAAGCCCUGUCAGCAGGGAAGAAAAUGACGGUACCUGAAGAAGAAGCCCCGGCUAACUACGUGCCAGCAGCCGCGGUAAUACGUAGGGGGCAAGCGUUAUCCGGAUUUACUGGGGGUAAAGGGGGCGCAAACGGCGAUGCAAGCCAGGAGUGAAAGCCCG